Molecule: ribosomal RNA, 520 nt
Filed under: Triticum aestivum (bread wheat)
Lineage: Eukaryota; Viridiplantae; Streptophyta; Magnoliopsida; Poales; Poaceae
Description: partial small subunit ribosomal RNA
Source: RNAcentral
CCGCUGUACACUGCCCCAAAUCUCGUUUCUCAUCUAAUCCCCUCACCAAGCCUUCCUCUCAUCUUAUCCAUUAGAGGUCGCAUCCUUCAGGUCGUUGCUGCAGCUACUGCUAGAUGUCAUUGCUGUGAGAUUGCUGUUGUUCCCGGUGCCUCUUCUCGCCAUGGUCGCUGCCGUGUGGAGGCUGCUCCCGUUCCCCUGUUCCCUGCGUCGUCAUGGUUGUCGCCGCUGCCGCCUUUGGCCAAUACCGGGUGUGGGUACUUCUGGUUCGAGAUCAAUUGACUCACACUUUGUGCCCCGCGGUUGAGGUAAAUUCUGAGGAAGACAUGCAUGGGAGUCUUGGGAGUAGCAUCAUCACCGUUUUUACCAUACAGAACUCACACAUAUUGUCCCUUAGGACCGUGUUUUGAGAACCUAGUACAGUUUGUACCUUACUUCACGUGGGAUUUGCCUUGAGUUUGAGAGUUACUCUCUUGGUCUGUAUGGCUUAACUAAUUUCCAUUUAAGACUACCGUUAUUCGCC